GAUGACGUGGUCUAGCGGUUAGAACGCUGGCCUUGUAAUCCUGGGGUCUCGGGUUCGAUUCCCGGCGGUGCCC
This 73-nucleotide transfer RNA is filed under the name Zootermopsis nevadensis. It matches the Rfam family "tRNA". Rfam says of the family: Transfer RNA (tRNA) molecules are approximately 80 nucleotides in length. Their secondary structure includes four short double-helical elements and three loops (D, anti-codon, and T loops). Lineage: Eukaryota; Metazoa; Arthropoda; Insecta; Blattodea; Termopsidae. The record is from Rfam by way of RNAcentral.